This 200-nucleotide ribosomal RNA is filed under the name uncultured bacterium. Its description in RNAcentral is "partial 16S ribosomal RNA". It matches the Rfam family "Bacterial small subunit ribosomal RNA", at positions 134 to 334 of the family's 1533-position model. The record is from RNAcentral.
AUCAGGGGGAUAGCCUCUCGAAAGAGAGAUUAAGCCCGCAUAAAAUCACAGUGCAGCAUUGCAUAAUGAUCAAAUAUUUAUAGGAUGAAGAUGGGCAUGCGGAACAUUAGCUAGAUGGUGAGGUAACGGCUCACCAUGGCAACGAUGUUUAGGGGAUCUGAGAGGAUGACCCCCCACACUGGUACUGAGACACGGACCAG